RNAcentral lists this ribosomal RNA (269 nucleotides) under uncultured prokaryote. Its description in RNAcentral is "partial 16S ribosomal RNA". It matches the Rfam family "Bacterial small subunit ribosomal RNA", at positions 524 to 792 of the family's 1533-position model. The record is from RNAcentral.
UACGGGGGGAGCGAGCGUUGUCCGGAAUUACUGGGCGUAAAGGGCGUGUAGGCGGUUUGAUAAGUCAGAUGUAAAAGCCCCCGGCUUAACCGGGGAGGGUCAUUUGAAACUGUCAGGCUUGAGUACGAGAGAGGGUAGUGGAAUUCCCAGUGUAGCGGUGAAAUGUGUAGAUAUUGGGAAGAACACCAGUAGCGAAGGCGGCUACCUGGCUCGUUACUGACGCUAAUGCGCGAAAGCGUGGGGAGCAAACAGGAUUAGAUACCCGCGUA